This is a non-coding RNA of Phasianus colchicus (ring-necked pheasant), 2526 nucleotides long. The record is from RefSeq and is a predicted model, not a curated record. NCBI's taxonomy places the organism in Eukaryota, Metazoa, Chordata, Aves, Galliformes, Phasianidae.
GGAAAUCCCUCCUUUGGAGUUUUACAGUGAGCCCAGGACACAGAACAUUAAUGAAAAGAGGAACCUCUGAACUCCUUCCUGUUGCUGGAUUCCAAGUCUGACUUGUGCUUUCUGGGGUAGGAAGGAGAUGGGUCACAGAGCAAACCCAUGGCUGCUGCACUGCCACACAACCCACCUUACUGUGAAGGCCAGAGGAUGGCCGGAUAUGAAGACACAGAGCUGCAGUCUAAUUUGAUCAGAAGAUAACAGGCCUCAUAUUUUGUUUAGACGUGUUUUCCACAAAGUCUAGAGGCAUUAUUAACUACUUCUUGAAUCUGUAAUCCAAGCCCAACUCAUUCAAAGUGUUUUGGUCCUCAGUUCUAUGGAGUACAGGAAAGGCUGCCCAGGAUUAUCGGGUUGCUUACUUGCUUCCAUUUUACCUUUGGCAUCCUUUAUUUACUUUGGCUACCGCGUACCUCGAGAAAAGGCUUUCAGAACUAAGUUAAAAUAUGAAUUAGACUUCAAGAAGGUUUGAAACAGAUAUUGGAUUUAUUGGUCAGCUAUGAGUAGGAAAAUACAUUGGUAAGGAAAAAGAAGACCCUGUAUAUAAAUAUAAUACUAACUAGUUAAAAUUUGACCAAGAAGAAAGUUCCACUGAAGAGAACAGUAAAAGCCCUUGUUUACCAUCAGACCAUAUUCAGUUUCCCAUUUAUCUUAUUGAAGAGCUGCCUAUAGACAAAUGCAACAUUCUUUGAGCUUAGUGCAGAUAAUGUGCUGGUUUUUGUUACAUGAAUGGUAAACAAGAGUUAGUCCAGUGCAUUACACGUUAUACAGAAGUACUGUGAAUAAAGACUAAGAUAUUCUAUUUAGACACUACUUAAACAUACCAAGACACUUAAGUGUUACAAAUUUAUGCAACCAAAAGAAAAGAAUAGCAGUUAACAUACUAAAAAAAUACUGUGACCUGCUGGAUGAGAAAGGCUUGCUACUUAUGCAGUUAACUGAUUAUUACUAUUUUUAAAGUUUUACAGUGUAAUUAGUCGCCGUUUCCAAUGACAUCGUAAUUAUUUUGUCUUUACUACAGGUUUUAGCUUGUGGCUGAGAAAGCAAACAAUAACCUAAGUCUGCUCAAGAAAACCAAAAACCAACCAACCAAAAACACAAAACAUCCGAACUUGAGAGACUUGCUAAAGUUACACCAAAGAUGCCUACAUACAGUGUUCUAAACAAACUCAGUUUUGUCCAAGUGUUGGCCAAAUUUAAACCUAAAAGGACAAAAUAAUUACAAAAUGCACUGACACUGACUUAGACACCUUCCCCCUCCAUCCCUCCCAAUUGAUGUCAUUCUAAAACUUGUGGAUUCACCUUGUAAUCAAUCUGUAAUCAAUUCUCUUAGCUAAAGGUAUGCUCAAUUUAAUGUUUUGAUUCCCAGAAUUCUUUGCAAAUGUAAAUACAAGUAGACAAGAUAUGGUCAACUCUAUUUUAAGUGGAAAAAAGCCUGCUCAAACCUCAACGAAUCCCACUGAUGUUUUGUGGCUUUCGCAGUACGUGCUUUUACAACAAGAACACUGAAGGUACAUUAUGGCAACACCCAAAUCCACCUCCAAUAAAAUACUGCAAGUAAUCAUUUUAAGUCAAAAACUACGAAGCAAAUGUUUUGAUUGUGUGAAGACAUGGUUUAUUGCCUUAUUCUAUGCUAUAGCUGGAAAUUGAGACUUUUGAGUUACAUCUGUUUGACGUACGGAUGUAUUUUCUUUAGAAGUUUAUCUCAGCUCCGCUUUGGUGCCUUCUGUUCUUUUCCUGCAUUCAGAGUAUUUCUCAUUCCCUCCUCUCUCAAGUAACCAAUGUAGUCCAGUUACAACCCAGUGAAGUCAAAGGAGUGUCUUAAAUGUAUUCAGUGGGUCUUUAGUUGGGAUCUGAUAGACUAGUAUAAAAGCUAAAGGAAAUGGUUACUUAAAUGGACCCUUAAGGCUGCCAGGUGACUGAACAGGGACAGCUGUCUCUCCAAAAGCACAACGGGCCACAUUUUAAUGAUGUAAUAAUUUCAAACAUGUUUAAGACUAAGAAAUAUAAGAGAACAUAUACUGGAUAAAGCUCAAACCUUUUCAAUCUAACAAGUGCACUCAAGCUCCAGCAUCUAUUAAAGUAAAUUAUCCCCCCUCUAAGAAAUACAAAAUGAGUAAGUGCUUCCCUUCCCCUUCUGUAAAGCUUUCUGGACUCAGUUACACAAUCCAGAUCCUCAGAAAAGAAAAACAGUUUGCUCAGCUGGACGAGCUAAAUCGGCUCGUCCUCACUGGAAAUUGUCAUGAUGUACAUUACCAAGACAUCAUUAAGGAAACAUGAGUAAAACACUUUUUAUUCACACUUUACAAAAGAAAUAAUAAUAACCAACAAAAAAAAACAAAACAAAAAAAACCAAAAAAAAAACCAGAAAAAAAUAACACUACGCAUUAAGUCUACUACAGCAAUACUAUCAGCAUUUCAAUGUACUGAUUAUAAACUGGACGUGUUUGGUGUUUUCACAACUAAAACGAAAACAAAAUAACC